This 253-nucleotide ribosomal RNA is filed under the name uncultured bacterium. RNAcentral describes it as "partial 16S ribosomal RNA". It matches the Rfam family "Bacterial small subunit ribosomal RNA", at positions 524 to 776 of the family's 1533-position model. The record is from RNAcentral.
UACGAGGGGGGCGAGCGUUGUUCGGAAUUAUUGGGCGUAAAGGGUGCGUAGGCGGUUUGGUAAGUCUUGUGUGAAAUCUCCAGGCUCAACUUGGAGUCUGCACGAGAAACUGCCGGGCUUGAGUGUGGGAGAGGUGAGUGGAAUUCCUGGUGUAGCGGUGAAAUUCGUAGAUAUCGGGAGGAACACCAGUGGCGAAGGCGGCGACCUGGGCCAAUACUGACGCUGAGGUGCGAAAGCGUGGGGAGCAAACAGG